RNAcentral lists this ribosomal RNA (173 nucleotides) under Microcaldota archaeon. RNAcentral's name for it is "partial 23S ribosomal RNA". It matches the Rfam family "Archaeal large subunit ribosomal RNA", at positions 2809 to 2987 of the family's 2987-position model. Lineage: Archaea; Nanobdellati; Microcaldota. The record is from RNAcentral.
CCGGGUAGCCACGCGCUUAGCGGAUAAGACCUGAAAGCAUCUAAGGUCGAAGCCGCACCCGAAACGAGAGACUUAGGGUGGUUGUACUACACGACUUUGAUAGGGCAGGCGUGUAAGCAGGAAGCUUCGGCGACCUGCGAGCGCACUGCUACUAAAUCCUAACACAUCAAGCU